Molecule: ribosomal RNA, 253 nt
Filed under: uncultured bacterium
Lineage: Bacteria
Description: partial 16S ribosomal RNA
Rfam family: Bacterial small subunit ribosomal RNA
Source: RNAcentral
UACGAAGGGGGCUAGCGUUGCUCGGAAUCACUGGGCGUAAAGGGUGCGUAGGCGGGUUUUUAAGUCAGGGGUGAAAUCCCAGGGCUCAACCCUGGAACUGCCUUUGAUACUGUCGAUCUGGAGUAUGGAAGAGGUGAGUGGAAUUCCUGGUGUAGCGGUGAAAUGCGCAGAUAUCAGGAGGAACACCAAUGGCGAAGGCAGCUCGCUGGGACGGUACUGACACUGAGACGCGAAAGCGUGGGGAGCAAACAGG